CUCAGUUCAGAUCGUAGGCCGCAACUCGCCUACGUGAAGGAGGAAUCGCUAGUAAUCGCAGGUCAGCAUACUGCGGUGAAUACGUUCCCGGGCCUUGUACACACCGCCCGUCACACCAUGGAAGUUGGCCACGCCCGAAGCCGUUACUCCAACCCUUGUGGAGGAGGACGUCGAAGGUGGGGCUGAUGACUGGGGUGAAGUCGUAACAAGGUAGCCGUACCGGAAGGUGCGGCUGGAUCACCUCCUAA
RNAcentral lists this ribosomal RNA (248 nucleotides) under uncultured cyanobacterium. RNAcentral describes it as "partial 16S ribosomal RNA". It matches the Rfam family "Bacterial small subunit ribosomal RNA", at positions 1287 to 1533 of the family's 1533-position model. The record is from RNAcentral. Lineage: Bacteria; Bacillati; Cyanobacteriota.